UUGUAUUCGUGCAUAAGCAGAGAACACGACUGGGAGGUGCCGUGUGCUCUUGUUACAGUGCUCCUGAACAUACUCUCGGACUGCGUGUUUAAUCCACAUCGUAUGCAGUAUUUCUGAAGCUCUAGUGAAGACCACCUGACUGCUGUUCUUGAGGAGUUCCAUGAUGGCUACCAGUCGGAAGAUCAAAUUCGACUCUCUUGAGAAAAUGUGUCUGUCCCUAGGUGGCACCCACAGUGUCCAGAAUGCUCAGGUCACUGCAGCAGAAGAGGAAACGCCCUCCACGUCUCCUACCUCUCCUUGUUCUGAGGACUUUCCCCUGAGCUUCCCUGGUAUACGGGUCCCAGACUUACCACAGGCAUUCCUGUACACCACUCUGGAUAGACAAGAUGCUUUCAUUGCAAGCAUUGCUAAAGUUUCCCAGACUCAAGGAGAGGGAAAUGCAAGUGCUUCUGAGGCUGUUGCGACUCCUAGUAAGAAUUCCCAGAGAGAUCCCAUUGUCCAGAGCAUGAACAUAUUGGUGCAGUUCUUGCUGCGCAAGUAUAAAAUGAAAGAGUCCGUUUCCAAGGCAGAAAUGAUGAAGGUCAUCAACAAAAAGUACAAGGAGCAUUACUCUGAGAUGCUGAGGAGGGUCUCUGAGCACAUGAAGAUGGUCUUUGGGCUUGAGAUGAAGGAAGUCGACUCUACAAGUCAAUCAUAUAUUUUGACUCACAUUUUAUAGAUUACCAGGGAAGGGUACCAGGGGGUUUCCUAAGGUCGGCAUGCUCCUGCCCUUCUGCGGAUAACCUACAGGAAUGACUGCCAGGUACAGAGCAGGAGAUGCAGCAAUUCCUGAAUUCACUAUGGAUUAUUGAUGGGAAGAGGUACUUCAUUUUUGGAGAGCCUAAGAAACUCAUCACCAGAGAUUUGGUGUGGGAAAAUUACCUGGUGUACUGGCAAGUGCCCAAUAGUUUUCCUCCAUAGUAUGAAUUCCUGUGGAGUUCCAGAGCCUAUACUGAGGCCAGUAAGAAAAAGUUGUUGGAGUUCUUGGUCAAGGUCAAUAAUAUUGAAACGUAUGCUUUUCAUGUACUCUAUGAAUGAACUUGGGGGUUUGAAGGGAGAUCAAUAAACACACUGUGGACUGGGGUAAGUUUUUGUGCCAGGGCAAGGGCCCAUGUCAGGGUCAAGUCCAGCAAGACCUCCGACCCCUCAUGAAAGCUGGCAGAGUCGCAUCACUUUGUUGUUAAAAUGAUGGUAGGCAUAGUAAAGAGUGGGGCUGCAAAGAGGUUUUACCUUCACCUCCCAUGCACAAUUAGCCUAUAGAUUGAACUCUGUGGGAUUUUUCUUUGGAUUUUGAAAUGCUGUGCUUUUUACUGGAUGCUAAUUUAGACUCUGAAGACACAAUAAUUGUUUGUAAAAUGUUUUUUUAAAAGGGUAGACGUAUGCUUUCUUUACAAAAGAUGGUUACUUGGCUCUUCAGUCAGAAAAGCAGGAACUACUGUAUAAGGUUGGAUGUGGGUUCAGAGUAAGGGAAUCCUCAGAAAUGGCAAGGAAGUCCACAGUCAAGAGCUUAGGGACAGAGGGUGAUAUUGUUGGACGGGAAAAAUUACUGGUUCCCUGAUAUCUUUUGUUUAAGUGAAUAACUAUUGCAUUUGCUUAGUUCAUUAAAAAUUUUUGGAAAAAUAAAAGGUGAUGAUUUACA
Long non-coding RNA from Echinops telfairi (small Madagascar hedgehog), 1678 nucleotides. RefSeq lists it as uncharacterized. NCBI's taxonomy places the organism in Eukaryota, Metazoa, Chordata, Mammalia, Afrosoricida, Tenrecidae. The record is from RefSeq and is a predicted model, not a curated record. The transcript is spliced from 2 exons.